RNAcentral lists this ribosomal RNA (440 nucleotides) under uncultured bacterium. RNAcentral's name for it is "bacterial SSU rRNA". It matches the Rfam family "Bacterial small subunit ribosomal RNA", at positions 338 to 770 of the family's 1533-position model. The record is from RNAcentral.
CCUACGGGUGGCAGCAGUGGGGAAUCUUGCGCAAUGGACGAAAGUCUGACGCAGCGACGCCGCGUGCGGGAGGAAGCCUUUCGGGGUGUAAACCGCUGUCACCGGGGAAGAACGGCGGGGGGAGGAAAUGCCUCCCGAUUGACGGUACCCGGGGAGGAAGCACCGGCUAACUCUGUGCCAGCAGCCGCGGUAAUACAGAGGGUGCGAGCGUUGUUCGGAAUUACUGGGCGUAAAGCGCGCGCAGGCGGCCGCUUAAGUCUCACCGUUCAAGCCCGGGGCUCAACCCCGGUCCGCGGGGGAUACUGAGCGGCUAGGGACAUGUAGGGGCAAGCGGAAUUCCGGGUGUAGCGGUGGAAUGCGUAGAGAUCCGGAAGAACACCGGAGGCGAAGGCGGCUUGCUGGGCAUGGUCCGACGCUGAGGCGCGAAAGCGUGGGGAGCA